UACGUAGGGUGCAAGCGUUGUCCGGAAUUAUUGGGCGUAAAGAGCUUGUAGGCGGUUUGUCGCGUCUGCUGUGAAAUUUCGGGGCUCAACCCCGAACUUGCAGUGGGUACGGGCAGACUAGAGUGUGGUAGGGGAGACUGGAAUUCCUGGUGUAGCGGUGAAAUGCGCAGAUAUCUGGAGGAACACCAGUGGCGAAGGCGGCAUCCUGGACCGGCAUUGACGCUGAGGCGCGAAAGCUAGGGUAGCAAACGGG
RNAcentral lists this ribosomal RNA (253 nucleotides) under uncultured bacterium. RNAcentral describes it as "partial 16S ribosomal RNA". It matches the Rfam family "Bacterial small subunit ribosomal RNA", at positions 524 to 776 of the family's 1533-position model. The record is from RNAcentral.